CUGAUUCCUGAAGCCAAUGUGAGCAUAAAGGCAUGUGUCGUUUUCUGUGUCCAAGUCAUAUUUAAAGUGUCACACUUCAUGCAGAGUUCCUGAAGUCCUUUAAAGGGAAGAGUAAGAAAACGUUUAUGAGAAACACAGGAAAACAACUCGGAAUUACUCAGCCUAAGGAAGGUGGCCAGCAGCGAAAGUCUUUGUCUGUGCUCACAAAGGCCCCCUGAAGACUACAAGGAGAGGUCCUGAGAUCAACAGCACAGCCAACCGCUCAGGCAGGACAGGCGGAGCCGGGGCAAGUCUCUGCUCAAGUACAGAGUGGGAGGAGUCUGCACUCCAGCCUGGGCCAUUUCAGACUUACAGAGAAGCUAAGCUUGAUGCAAAAUGCCACAGCUCCCUCACCCACUGCUACUGUGCUUUGGAGAGAACAAAGCAUU
Long non-coding RNA from Artibeus jamaicensis (Jamaican fruit-eating bat), 428 nucleotides. RefSeq lists it as uncharacterized. The transcript has 4 exons. The record is from RefSeq and is a predicted model, not a curated record. NCBI's taxonomy places the organism in Eukaryota, Metazoa, Chordata, Mammalia, Chiroptera, Phyllostomidae.